GAUGAACGCUAGCGGCAGGCCUAACACAUGCAAGUCGAGGGAGGAGCCUUCGGGCUUCGACCGGCGUACGGGUGCGUAACGCGUAUACAAUCUGCCUUUCACAUAGGGAUAGCCCGAAGAAAUUUGGAUUAAUACCUAAUGGUAUAUAGAUGUGGCAUCACCUUUAUAUUAAAGCUGAGGCGGUGAAAGAUGAGUAUGCGUUCUAUUAGCUAGUUGGAGAGGUAACGGCUCCCCAAGGCGACGAUAGAUAGGGGUUCUGAGAGGGAUAUCCCCCACACUGGUACUGAGAUACGGACCAGACGCCUACGGGAGGCAGCAGUGAGGAAUAUUGGACAAUGGUCGGAAGACUGAUCCAGCCAUGCCGCGUGCAGGAAGACGGCCUUAUGGGUUGUAAACUGCUUUUGCAGGGGAAGAAUAAGGACUACGCGUAGUUUGAUGACGGUACUCUGCGAAUAAGCAUCGGCUAACUCCGUG
This 474-nucleotide ribosomal RNA is filed under the name uncultured bacterium. RNAcentral's name for it is "partial 16S ribosomal RNA". It matches the Rfam family "Bacterial small subunit ribosomal RNA", at positions 28 to 507 of the family's 1533-position model. The record is from RNAcentral.